CAGAGGGAGCGAUCGAGCAAGAUAGACGUCACAGGCUCGCAGCUUGCCGUUAGCCCAUUUCGGACCUCACCGGACGUUGAUUUAUUAUUUCGGGAGGCAAAUUGAAGUAUAUUAUAGAGAGAAGGUCGUUUCAUUCCCGACAGCAGACCACGCGGUGCACUUUUCUUUCACAUAACACAAAACAAACAGCCAGGGUGGAGGCAGGGCGAGCCGGCAAACGUAACAUCUGUGACGUCAGCGCGUGUUCCGCCGGGUCUUGCCUCCGCACUUAGGCUGGGGGGCCACUGAGCGAGAUCAAUUGACUUGAACGUAUCUGAAUCCCGAGAUCGCUAGUGUGUACUGAUGGAGAAGAGGAGGUCGGACUGUCCAGCUCUGCCACCCGGCUGGAAGAAGGAAGAAGUGAUCAGGAAGUCCGGUUUGAGCGCCGGCAAAAGCGACAUCUAUUACUACAGUCCUACAGGGAAAAAGUUCCGGAGUAAACCUCAAUUGUCCCGUUACCUUGGAAACAAAGUAGAUUUGGCGUGUUUCGACUUCCGGACGGGGAAGAUGAUGCCUGGCAAACUGCAGAAGAACAAACAGAAACUCCGACAUGACCAACUGAGCCUGGCAAAGGGAGGUAAGCCUGACCUGAACACGAGUUUGCCCAUCAGACAGACGGCAUCCAUCUUUAAACAGCCUGUUACCAAGAUUACAAAUCACCCGGGAAACAAGGUAAAGACAGACCUACAGAGAGCGACUGAGCAGCCCAGACAGCUUUUUUGGGAGAGGAGGUUAACAGGUUUGCGAUCAUCAGAUGUCUCACAGGAAGUGCUAAGAACAAUGGAGCUGCCGAAAGUCCUACAGAGUGUUGGUCUCAGCUCAAGUGAUGACACUCUGCUGUCUGCAAUUGCAAGUGCUCUCCACAUGAGCUCUGCUCCUAUCACAGGACAGACAUCUGUUGCAGCCGAAAAGAACCCAGCAAUCUGGCUGAACACGUCCCAGCCGCUUUGUAAAGCCUUCACUGUGACUGACGAGCAAAUCCGGGAGCAGGAGCUGAAGGUGCAGCAAGCAAGGAGGAGUCUGGAGGAGGCACUAAUGGCAAACAGCUUGGCACGGGCUGCUGAAAACAGCAAACAGAUGUCGGAAGAAAAAGCGACUUAAAGUCAACAAACAAGAAAAUAGACAGUUGGUGCAUCAGAGAGAGGAGGAAUAAGAUACAAGUCUCCAAGGACGAGUAUACAGGCGCUGAGAUCGCAGAUGUGGAUGGCCGGGACAGCACAACUGUAAUCUCACUAUCACAGCAUGACAUCCCUUCACGUUUUGAGUUUGAAAGAAUUAUUUUGACUCCACAUUGGGGUUGAAGCUCCUCGCCAUCCUAGAAUUAUCGACCAAUGGCAAAAGUAGAGCUUUUGUAAACAUGCUGCUGUUGAAUGGCACAUACAAGCGUUGAUACGCUCACAAAUUAAUGAGAACGUUAAUGACGUAACAAGAUGCCAACUCACAGGGUUCCUCUGUUCACCAGCCUCAGGUUUAUCAUUCUCUUCAUCUGGACCGAAACAACAAACCGACACAAUUCGUGCAGCGUGCCUCUUCAAACAAGUCUUUCCCCUGUGUGACAUCAGACCGGAUAUAAAAAGCCUCUCUCUCAUUAACAUGAAAACAAGUAACAGUAACUAUUGUAGCAACAGAGAGUACUCUGCUAAAAGAGGAAAAAGAGCAAGCCUCUGAUCAAAACGUUCCGUGAACUUUUAAAUAAGCUCUUAUUGUGUGUCCGUUUCAAACUUAUGAUAAGUACUUUUAAAAUGAGCAUCACCCUCAUAUUAGAAGAUAACAGGUUGCAAACUGCUGGACGGCCUUUGCUAACUGCUUAAUUUACUCUUCCUGUGCUCUCUGAUGAUUUUUGAUGUCGAAAUUUUGUUCAGAUUCAGGGUUUUUCAUUGAGUAAUGAAUUUACAUGAAUAUGAAAAUGAAAAUUUAUUUAAUGCAAAUUUUAUACCUUGACAGAACAGUCAUGUACAUUUUUCAGACUGCCGUAAAUAAAUGAUUAUAUUCGCAAA
Molecule: RNA transcript, 2036 nt
Organism: Syngnathus typhle (broad-nosed pipefish)
Lineage: Eukaryota; Metazoa; Chordata; Actinopteri; Syngnathiformes; Syngnathidae
Gene: mbd2
Gene name: methyl-CpG binding domain protein 2
Exons: 9
Source: RefSeq, a predicted model, not a curated record